Molecule: long non-coding RNA, 608 nt
Filed under: Theobroma cacao (cacao)
Lineage: Eukaryota; Viridiplantae; Streptophyta; Magnoliopsida; Malvales; Malvaceae
Description: long non-coding RNA (TCAC_LNC002775)
Source: RNAcentral
UUCAGAAUUAGUCUCAACCACAGAAGGUGCCUCCACCAUGCCUGACUUAUCAGGACAAGGCUCUGCUUCACAUUCAGAAUUAUUCUCAACCAUAACAGGUGCUUCCACCAUGCCUGAAUUAUCCGGACAGGGCUCUGCUUCACAUUCAGAAUUGUUUGCAACCAUAGCAGGUGCCUCCACCAUGCCUGACUUAUCUGGACAAGGCUCUGCUUCACAUUCAGAAUUGUUCUCAACCAUAGCAGGUGCUUCUAUCAUGCCUGACUUAUCUGGACAAGGCUCUGCUUCACAUUCAGGAUUGUCCUCAACCAUAGCAGGUGCCUCCAUCACACCUGACUUAUCUGGAAAAGACUCUGCUUCACAUUCGGAAUUGUUCUCAACCAUAGCAGGUGCCUCCACCAUGCCUGACUUAUCUGGACAAGGCUCUGCUUCACAUUCAGAAUUGCUCUCAACCAUAGCAGGUGUGUCCACCGUGCCUGACUUAUCUGGACCAAUGGUAAUAGGUAAAGACUCUCCGGGAUUAUCAGCAACAUCAUGAAAUUUGAUGACAUUUGGAGUACCUUCAGCACUUUCAACAUUGAUAGCAGAAGAUCCUAAAGACUCUCUAGCAG